RNAcentral lists this ribosomal RNA (253 nucleotides) under uncultured bacterium. RNAcentral describes it as "partial 16S ribosomal RNA". It matches the Rfam family "Bacterial small subunit ribosomal RNA", at positions 524 to 776 of the family's 1533-position model. The record is from RNAcentral.
UACAGAGGGUGCAAGCGUUGUUCGGAAUUAUUGGGCGUAAAGCGCGUGUAGGCGGCUUUGCAAGUCGGGUGUGAAAGCCCUCAGCUUAACUGAGGAAGGGCGCCCGAAACUGCAGAGCUUGAGUACCGGAGAGGAUGGCGGAAUUCCCCAAGUAGAGGUGAAAUUCGUAGAUAUGGGGAGGAACACCGGUGGCGAAGGCGGCCAUCUGGACGGAUACUGACGCUGAGACGCGAAAGCGUGGGUAGCAAACAGG